AUUACUGUCUCCUUAUGGCUCAAUGAAAUUUAAUUUUUAGGUGAAGAAGCCUAAAUAAAAUUGAAAGACAAGAAGACCCUAUCGAGCUUUAAAGAAAUUAAUAAACACAAAAUAAUGUUUACCAGAAUAUCAAUUAUUAAAAAUUUUAGUUGGGGCGACAAAGGAACAAACAAAGCUUCCUCUACUUAAAUAGAUACUUUCAGAUAUAGACCCAAAAUAUUUUGACUAAAGAAAAUAGUUACCGUAGGGAUAACAGCAUAAUCUUUUUCAAGAGUUCUUAUCGAAAAAAAGGUUUGUGACCUCGAUG
RNAcentral lists this ribosomal RNA (307 nucleotides) under Adelomelon riosi. Its description in RNAcentral is "partial 16S ribosomal RNA". It matches the Rfam family "Bacterial large subunit ribosomal RNA", at positions 2012 to 2531 of the family's 2925-position model. Lineage: Eukaryota; Metazoa; Mollusca; Gastropoda; Neogastropoda; Volutidae. The record is from RNAcentral.